Molecule: ribosomal RNA, 460 nt
Filed under: uncultured bacterium
Lineage: Bacteria
Description: partial 16S ribosomal RNA
Rfam family: Bacterial small subunit ribosomal RNA
Source: RNAcentral
CCUACGGGCGGCUGCAGUGAGGAAUAUUGGUCAAUGGGCUUACGCCUGAACCAGCCAAGUCGCGUGAGGGAAGACUGCCCUAUGGGUUGUAAACCUCUUUUGUCAGGGAGCAACGCCGGCUACGUGUAGCCGGACUGAGAGUACCUGAAGAAAAAGCAUCGGCUAACUCCGUGCCAGCAGCCGCGGUAAUACGGAGGAUGCGAGCGUUAUCCGGAUUUAUUUGGUUUAAAGGGUGCGUAGGCGGAAUGCCAAGUCAGCGGUAAAAUCGCGGGGCUCAACCUCGCUCCGCCGUUGAAACUGGCGUUCCUGAGUGGGCGAGAAGUAUGGUGAAAGCGUGGUGUAGCGGGGAAAUGCAUAGAUAUCACGCAGAAAUCCGAUUGCGAAGGCAGCAUACCGGCGCCCAACUGACGCUGAAGCACGAAAGCGUGGGUAUCGAACAGGAUUAGAUACCCCAGUAGUC